AACAGCAGUGAUGAGUUGAAUACCACCCCAGUCUGGUAACUGUGAUGAAACAUGUUUUCUGAGUUGUG
Nannospalax galili (Upper Galilee mountains blind mole rat) is the source of this 68-nucleotide small nucleolar RNA. Lineage: Eukaryota; Metazoa; Chordata; Mammalia; Rodentia; Spalacidae. The record is from RefSeq and is a predicted model, not a curated record.